GGUGAAUUUUCCGCAAUGGGCGAAAGCCUGACGGAGCAAUACCGCGUGAGGGGGGAAGGCUCUUGGGUCGUAAACCUCUUUUCUCAGGGAAGAACAAAAUGACGGUACCUGAGGAAUAAGCAUCGGCUAACUCUGUGCCAGCAGCCGCGGUAAUACAGAGGAUGCAAGCGUUAUCCGGAAUGAUUGGGCGUAAAGCGUCCGUAGGUGGUUAUGUAAGUCUGUGGUUAAAGCGUGGAGCUCAACUCCAUAAGGGCCAUGGAAACUACAAGACUAGAGUCAAGUAGGGGUAGAGGGAAUUCCCAGUGUAGCGGUGAAAUGCGUAGAGAUUGGGAAGAACACCGGUGGCGAAAGCGCUCUACUGGACUUGUACUGACACUGAGGGACGAAAGCUAGGGGAGCGAAAGGGAUUAGAUACCCCUGUAGUCCUAGCCGUAAACGAUGGAUACUAGGUGUUGCCCGUAUCGACCCGGGCAGUGCCGUAGCUAACGCGUUAAGUAUCC
Molecule: ribosomal RNA, 500 nt
Filed under: uncultured cyanobacterium
Lineage: Bacteria; Bacillati; Cyanobacteriota
Description: bacterial SSU rRNA
Rfam family: Bacterial small subunit ribosomal RNA
Source: RNAcentral